Molecule: ribosomal RNA, 510 nt
Filed under: Triticum aestivum (bread wheat)
Lineage: Eukaryota; Viridiplantae; Streptophyta; Magnoliopsida; Poales; Poaceae
Description: partial small subunit ribosomal RNA
Source: RNAcentral
AUGUUGUUGUGCUUCUUGAGUAGGGAGGUGACGAGGGGGCCGAGGAGCAGGGACUCGAGGAGCAUGCCCAGGGCGCCUUGGCGGCGAAAUCCCCUUCCUCCUCCUUCGCGGACUGGCGCACGGUUGAGGCGGCGACCGGCGCGCGUACGCCCACGCGCACCCGAGGUCGCGCCGGCGCAGCACGAGCUACUGUUGCUUGCCCCGUGCCUCCUCCGGCGUCGGGGGCAACGAGGAGGACGUGUCGUCGCCGCGCGCAAGCAGGGGACGCAGCGGGACGAAGAAGAAACGAUUUUGGGGGUGAAAGAGGGGAGAUUUGGGAGGCAGGCAAGGGGGGCAGGGGAGCUGCGCGAGGCAGGAGGGAGCGACGGAGGAGGACGCGCGGGAGAGCAGCACGGCGAAGCUGAGCAGGGGAGCUCCGGCGCGGGAGAGCAGGGAAGCAGCGCGGCGAAUCUGAGCAGGGGAGCUCCGGCGUCCAUGCGUCUGUGUCGGAGCGUCGAUUGGAGACGAUGA